UAGUCCACGCCGUAAACGAUGAGCACUAGCUAUUGGUGAGGUAACAUCAUCAGUGGCGCAGCUAACGCAUUAAGUGCUCCGCCUGGGGAGUACGGUCGCAAGACUAAAACUCAAAGGAAUUGACGGGGGCCCGCACAAGCGGUGGAUUAUGUGGUUUAAUUCGAGGCUACGCGAAAAACCUUACCUAGGCUUGAAAUCCUGCGAAUAGGUUGUAAUGGGCCUAGUGCUAGCAAUAGAACGCAGAGACAGGUGCUGCAUGGCUGUCGUCAGCUCGUGUUGUGAAAUGUUGGGUUAAGUCUCGCAACGAGCGCAACCCCUAUCUCUAGUUACCAUCAUUCAGUUGGGGACUCUAGAGAGACUGUCCGGGUUAACCGGGAGGAAGGUGGGGAUGACGUCAAGUCCUCAUGGCCCUUAUGCCUAGGGCUACACACAUAAUACAAUGGGGUUGACAGAGGGAAGCGAACCAGCGAUGGGGGAGCGAAAUCUCAAAAACGACCUACUCAGUCCGG
This 509-nucleotide ribosomal RNA is filed under the name uncultured bacterium. Its description in RNAcentral is "bacterial SSU rRNA". It matches the Rfam family "Bacterial small subunit ribosomal RNA", at positions 791 to 1296 of the family's 1533-position model. The record is from RNAcentral.